RNAcentral lists this ribosomal RNA (895 nucleotides) under Alloprevotella tannerae. RNAcentral's name for it is "bacterial SSU rRNA". The stretch from base 1 to 751 matches the Rfam family "Bacterial small subunit ribosomal RNA". Lineage: Bacteria; Pseudomonadati; Bacteroidota; Bacteroidia; Bacteroidales; Prevotellaceae. The record is from RNAcentral.
GAUGAACGCUGACAGAAUGCUCAACACAUGCAAGUCGACUCGAGUCUUCGGACUUGGGUGGCGCACGGGUGAGUAACGCGUAAAGAACUUGCCUCUUAGACCGGGACAACAUCUGGAAACGGAUGCUAAUACCGGAUAUUAUGGUUUUUUCGCAUGGAGGAAUCAUGAAAGCUAGAUGCGCUAAGAGAGAGCUUUGCGUCCCAUCAGCUGGUUGGUGAGGUAACGGCCCACCAAGGCAAUGAUGGGUAGCCGGCCUGAGAGGGUGAACGGCCACAAGGGGACUGAGACACGGCCCUUACUCCUACGGGAGGCAGCAGUGGGGAAUAUUGGACAAUGGACCGUAAGUCUGAUCCAGCAAUUCUGUGUGCACGAUGACGUUUUUCGGAAUGUAAAGUGCUUUCAGUCGGGAAGAAGUCAGUGACGGUAACGACAGAAGAAGCGACGUCUAAAUACGUGCCAGCAGCCGCGGUAUUACGUAUGUCUCAUGCGUUAUCCGGAUUUAUUGGGCGUAAAGCGCGUCUAGGCGGCUAGGAAAUUCUGAUGUGAAAAUGCGUAUCUCAACUCCGUUUGGCGUUGGAAACUGCUUUACUUGAGUACUGGAGAGGUUGUCGGAACUACUUUUGCUGAGGUGAUAUUCGUUAUAUGUUUGUAGGAUUUCUGGUUGUCAUCCAGCCUACUGGUGCUGAUACUGUCUCUUAUCUCGGAAUGUGGUGUAUCAUAUUGUGAUGAUAUCUCCUUGAUAUCCUGUGCUGAAUUCUACUGUGGAUAUCAUGCUGUAUAAUGCUGUCUAUUUCGACUGGUUGAUCACGAAUGCCUGAUUGUGUUGCUCUUAUUGGGUGCUAGUGUGAAUUGUAUUAUGUGGCCCUCCCCACCACCUGCCCUGCUGUGUGUUCUG